RNAcentral lists this ribosomal RNA (459 nucleotides) under uncultured bacterium. Its description in RNAcentral is "partial 16S ribosomal RNA". It matches the Rfam family "Bacterial small subunit ribosomal RNA", at positions 338 to 795 of the family's 1533-position model. The record is from RNAcentral.
CCUACGGGUGGCAGCAGUGAGGAAUAUUGGUCAAUGGCCGGAAGUCUGAACCAGCCAAGCCGCGUGAAGGACGAAGGUGCCAAGCAUUGUAAACUUCUUUUGUCAAGGGACAAAAUCAGGCUCGAGAGCCUGACCGAGGGUACUUGAAGAAAAAGCAUCGGCUAACUCCGUGCCAGCAGCCGCGGUAAUACGGAGGAUGCGAGCGUUAUCCGGAUUUAGUGGGUUAAAAGGGUGCGUAGGCGGACUGUUAAGUCGGCGGUAAAAGCCCGGGGCUCAACCCCGGCGAGCCGUUGAAACUGGCUGUCUUGAGAUGUCGAGAGGUAUGCGGAAUGCGCAGUGUAGCGGUGAAAUGCUUAGAUAUUGCGCAGAACUCCGAUUGCGAAGGCAGCAUACCGGAGGCGAUCUGACGCUGAGGCACGAAAGCGAGGGUAUCGAACAGGAUUAGAUACCCGGGUAGUC